This 525-nucleotide long non-coding RNA is filed under the name Brassica rapa (field mustard). RNAcentral describes it as "long non-coding RNA (BRAP_LNC001930)". The record is from RNAcentral. Lineage: Eukaryota; Viridiplantae; Streptophyta; Magnoliopsida; Brassicales; Brassicaceae.
GCCCCUAGGUAUAUUCGGAUUUGUAAUGAAUGUAUUACCUAUUACAGUAAAGUUAUGUAUGUACUCGCAGGACAGAUAUGCCACCCGGAUAAACAUUAUUUUUAGAAACGUCAUGAUGUCUAAUAAUUAAUUUUAUGUGGAGAUCACAUUGUCAUUGUGGACUUCACGUUAGGCUUGUUGUUUCUAUGGAAUUUCAUUAUUUUUAGGCUUCGAAUAAACAAAACUAGUUAUAUCUUUGUAAUAGUCAUCGAUUUACUUACAACUACUCCACAUUUGUCUUAAGAACAUAAUGUGAAAUAAGUAACUUUAUGAAGAGUUUUUAUUCUUUUCAAUUUAGUUCAUGGUUUAAAUAUUAAGUCGUAAAAGUAUUUUUUUUUUUUUUUAAAAAGAGAUCUACUACCCUUCCUUCCUGUUAGGUAAUCUCGCGGACAAGCAAGUUAUUACGAGCGGAGUCUUUGUGAUCACUCUUUUGGGAAACAUGAGCAACGGAAUAUUUGAUGUGUUCUCCACACUUAUGUGAACAUG